ACAACAUUCGGACCGUCGGUCUACCGAGCAAUAUCACUCGCUGGGUGGAAGAUCUUCCCUCCGUCGU
Molecule: microRNA precursor, 67 nt
Filed under: Bombyx mori (domestic silkworm)
Lineage: Eukaryota; Metazoa; Arthropoda; Insecta; Lepidoptera; Bombycidae
Description: mir-2774 microRNA precursor family
Rfam family: mir-2774 microRNA precursor family
Source: Rfam by way of RNAcentral